UAUUAAAAAUUUCAUUCAUUUCCAUGAUUAAAAACGGACAUAGCUGACAUAAUAACCAAACAAUGACAUGUGGUGUGCUAUGUGUAACUCAUGCUAACAUAUAAUGACCAGCUUUUAAUGAUAGAAAUGGAUAAAAAUUUUAACA
This is a non-coding RNA of Gossypium raimondii (Peruvian cotton), 145 nucleotides long. The record is from Rfam. NCBI's taxonomy places the organism in Eukaryota, Viridiplantae, Streptophyta, Magnoliopsida, Malvales, Malvaceae.